UAGGGAAUCUUCGGCAAUGGACGAAAGUCUGACCGAGCAACGCCGCGUGAGUGAAGAAGGUUUUCGGAUCGUAAAACUCUGUUGUUAGAGAAGAACAAGGACGUUAGUAACUGAACGUCCCCUGACGGUAUCUAACCAGAAAGCCACGGCUAACUACGUGCCAGCAGCCGCGGUAAUACGUAGGUGGCAAGCGUUGUCCGGAUUUAUUGGGUGUAAAGCGAGCGCAGGCGGUUUCUUAAGUCUGAUGUGAAAGCCCCCGGCUCAACCGGGGAGGGUCAUUGGAAACUGGGGUACUUGGGUGCAGAAGGGGAGAGUGGAAUUCCAUGUGUGGCGAUGAAAUGCGUUGAUGUAUGGAGGAACACCAGUGGCGAAGGCGGCUCUCUGGUCUGUAACUGACGCUGGGGCUCGAAAGCGUGGGGAGCAAACAGG
This 429-nucleotide ribosomal RNA is filed under the name Gemmatimonadota bacterium. Its description in RNAcentral is "Gemmatimonadetes bacterium partial 16S ribosomal RNA". It matches the Rfam family "Bacterial small subunit ribosomal RNA", at positions 355 to 776 of the family's 1533-position model. The record is from RNAcentral. Lineage: Bacteria; Pseudomonadati; Gemmatimonadota.